Molecule: ribosomal RNA, 216 nt
Filed under: uncultured bacterium
Lineage: Bacteria
Description: partial 16S ribosomal RNA
Rfam family: Bacterial small subunit ribosomal RNA
Source: RNAcentral
GUCCCAGUUCGGAUCGCAGGCUGCAACCCGCCUGCGUGAAGUCGGAAUCGCUAGUAAUCGCGGAUCAGCAUGCCGCGGUGAAUACGUUCCCGGGCCUUGUACACACCGCCCGUCACACCAUGAGAGUCGGGAACACCCGAAGUCCGUAGCCUAACCGCAAGGAGGGCGCGGCCGAAGGUGGGUUCGAUAAUUGGGGUGAAGUCGUAACAAGGUAAC